AGUGCCAGGAGAGACGGCACACUCCAGAGUGCCGUGUCCUGACGCGCCUUUGAGCAGCCAGCACAGCAGAUCAUCAGACCCGUCUCCAGAGAGCUCUGGUUCCUCCUCCAGAACAGACUGGCUGCUCAGGAGGCCAUAGCAGGACUGUCAGUUGAUCUCUGCCACGUGUGCUCAACAGUCGUGUGCUCAACAGUCGUUGACUUUCCAGAAGAGGCUGGAACAGGGCCCUUGAAGAUGAUUGUGGACACCAGAGGGCCAGGAGUGGACAACAAAACCACAAAGUGACACUAGACCCUGCCUCUUCAGCAUCAUGAAACAGCUUUUUACUGUGCUUAGUCAUUGCCUCAAGCAUGGGAGACUCCAGCAUACACCACCUCUUCUGUCCCUGUGACCAUCUGCUAGUGUCUGGAAUGACUAAUGGCUAGAACUUGUUGCCAACUUCCUGUUACUUUCCCAACGGCUGUGCAAUGAACCUCAUAGGUUAAUUCA
RNAcentral lists this long non-coding RNA (489 nucleotides) under Rattus norvegicus (Norway rat). Its description in RNAcentral is "long non-coding RNA NONRATT018829". The record is from RNAcentral. Lineage: Eukaryota; Metazoa; Chordata; Mammalia; Rodentia; Muridae.